This 492-nucleotide ribosomal RNA is filed under the name uncultured bacterium. RNAcentral's name for it is "partial 16S ribosomal RNA". It matches the Rfam family "Bacterial small subunit ribosomal RNA", at positions 29 to 507 of the family's 1533-position model. The record is from RNAcentral.
AGUGAACGCUGGCGGUAUGCCUAACACAUGCAAGUCGAGCGGCAGCACAAUAAGAUCGUUCCCUUGCGGUUGGCGACGGGCGGACGGGUAAGGAGUAGAUCGCAAUCUACUUUUUCUUGGAGGAUAACGUAGGGAAACUGACGCUACUACCUCAUACUAUGUACGGGAGAAAUCAAGAGUUCUUCAGACCUUUCCCGAUUCAAUGAGCCGGUGUCGGAUUAGCUAGUUGGUGAGGUAACGGCACACCAAGGCAACGAUGCAUAGCUGGUCUGAGAGGAUGAUCGGCCACACUGGAACUGAGACACGGUCCAGACUCCUACGGGAGGCAGCAGUAGGGAAUAUUCGGCAAUGGGCGAAAGCCUGAUCCAGCAAUGCCGCGUGAGUGAUGAAGGUCUUCGGAUCGUAAAGCCCUUUUAUUGGGGAAGAACAUAAGUGUAAGAAUCUGCGCACAUCUUGACGGUACCUAAUCAAUAAGCCACGGCUAACUACGUG